AUACGUAGGGGGCGAGCGUUGUCCGGAAUGAUUGGGCGUAAAGGGCGCGUAGGCGGCGCGGUAAGUCUGGAGUGAAAGUCCUGCUUUCAAGGUGGGAAUUGCUUUGGAUACUGCCGCGCUUGAGUGCAGGAGAGGUUAUCGGAAUUCCCGGUGUAGCGGUGAAAUGCGUAGAGAUCGGGAGGAACACCAGUGGAGAAGGCGGGUAACUGGACUGCAACUGACGCUGAGGCGCGAAAGUGUGGGGAGCAAACAGGAUUAGAUACCCUGGUAGUCCACACUGUAAACGAUGAAUGCUAGGUGUAAGAGGUAUCGACCCCUUUUGUGCCGGAGUCAACACAAUAAGCAUUCCGCCUGGGGAGUACGGCCGCAAGGUUGAAACUCAAAGGAAUUGACGGGG
RNAcentral lists this ribosomal RNA (397 nucleotides) under uncultured bacterium. RNAcentral's name for it is "partial 16S ribosomal RNA". It matches the Rfam family "Bacterial small subunit ribosomal RNA", at positions 523 to 918 of the family's 1533-position model. The record is from RNAcentral.